Molecule: long non-coding RNA, 2789 nt
Organism: Sapajus apella (tufted capuchin)
Lineage: Eukaryota; Metazoa; Chordata; Mammalia; Primates; Cebidae
Exons: 2
Source: RefSeq, a predicted model, not a curated record
UUGAUUUUAUUAGUUUUUGUAAAGUAACUCAAGCUUGUUCUACACUAUAAAGAUUGUCAUUGAUACCAAAAAUGCUUAAGACUCACUCAGCGCUGAAAGCUACCAGGCAGGUGGCAGUGUAUUCCUCUUCCAGUGAGGCAAUCAGUGCUUGCUGGCUUCACCAAAAAAACUUGCGUGUGUUAGAGAAUCACAUCUACUUAAAUAUUCAACCAACUACAUACCAGGCCCUGUUCUAAGAGGUGCUGGAAAUAACAGGAUGAACAAACCAAACCUGCCCUCAGGGAGCUGACAUUCUAGUGGGUAAAGACAGCAGUAAGUAAAAGUAAUAGACUAUCAAAGAAGGUUCCCCUGAGAAGAUGAUAUUGGAGCAGACUUAAAGGAGAUGAGGAAAUGAGCUGAGGAAGAAUGUUGCUUGCAGAGGGAACAGUGAGUACAGAGACCAUUUCAAAGGCCUGGAGGGAAAGGGGGCCCCCUGGAAAUUCUGAGAGUGGAGUGACGUGAUCCGGCUUCUGACAUCACCACCUCAGGGGAGAAUGUCCAAGUUAGGAGUUGGCAAACUCUGACUUGCCCAUGCCAAAUCCAACUUGAGGACCUUUUCUUUGAGACAAGAGUCUUCCUCUGUUGCCCAGGCUGGAGUGCAGUGGUGCAGGAUGAUUUUACCUACAUUUGCAGGGAUGUUUCGAGGAUUAAAUAAGAUACAUAUGUGUCAUGUCCAGCAUGAGGCAUGGUGAAUGGGAGUUAGUCAGUGAAUAUUGGUUGCCUCAUUCAUUCUCCUGAUGUGUAAGUGCCUCAAGAGGAAGUAUUUUGUUCUAACUUUUUUUUAAUCCCCCUGCAGUGACUAAGAUAGUACCUCGGACAAGUAGGCAUCUGGUAAACAUAUCUUGGAGUAAAUUAUACUUGGAGAUUGGAUAUUCUAGUUUUCAUUUGCCUUGCAUUUCACAAUUUCAUCUCUCUCUCUGGCUUGUGGCAUAGCUAAGCUCUGUUCUUGCCAGUGCUCUCAGUCGUGAUGGAACCUGUUCAUUUCAUGGCUUAAACUUUUGGCCUUCCUUUUCUAGUUUUGUUAGAAUUUUUUUAUUCUGAAUUAAUUUAAACUUGGAUGAGUUUUGUGUUUUGUUGUUCCCAAGCUAAUGAUGAGCAUUUACAUAAAGAUGAAGCUUCCCUGAGAAUCAGAAGCAGCGUGGAUUAUAUGGUAGGAGGGAAAACACAUGCACAUACACACACACCUACCCACCCACCCCUCAACAACUUAGUUAAGAAUGCAAAGUAGAAUAGCUUCUUCCUCUGCCCAGCAGCGUAAGCAGUACUCAAAUAUUACAAAUGUCCCAAUUUUUAAAAAAAAUUUGGGAACAUUCUUUGUUAAAAUUUGAUGUGUAAAGAAAGGAAGGUAUUUGUGGCCCAUAUACAAGAAUCCCUAAAGGAAGGAAAGUAGACCAUGGCAAGUAACAGCUGCUGGGCGAGGCUAUGAGGGGGCGCAGGCUGUGGUCGUAGAAUGGGUUCUCAGGUUUGCCUUCAUGAAUGGUUCACAUUAUCCAUCUCCAUCUGAUGGGUCAGCUUUGUGCUGCUCUGACUCUCCCCAAGAAACACUGAACAUUUUCCCUGGGCCAGCAGCAGGGUCCCUCGGAUCUUCCAGUCCUGGGAACACUGAGCACCAAGGAGAUGGAAGAUCAGCCCUGGGGAGACCCCCAGCCUGGUCUUGGUUCCCUUCCCCAGUGCGGGGAGUCUCUUCCUUUCAAGUUUCCACAUCUGUGAAUUACAGGCAGCAUACAUCCUAAUCAAUGCCUGAGCUGCUCAAUGAAAGCCAGUAAUCAAAAUUUUUGAUUUCUCUGCAGAUGGCCAAUCUAAAGGGCACUUUUGCUUUUCCCAGGUCAACUGUAAGUUCAUUUAAUGAAUGGCUAACUCAGGUGAUCCAGGGCAAUAGAUGUCUAUUCAUUAGGUGUUCAAGAAGCAAGUGGCUUGGCUGACUUCAUGGUAGUUAGGGGUGUCCAGUGCAGGACGGGAUGUUAACCCAGGAAAUUGUUCUGUAAUUCUUCUCUAGCCAUUUAUACAGUAAAUAUAGAACAUCUGCUGUGUAUGAGACACUGUGAUUGUCAUCCAUUCUUAGGAAUUCACUAGACCGUUUGUUUCCCAGCUUUUCUUUUGAAUUAAAAUCUUCCACAAGCUAAGGGAAGUUUCUCUGCUUGGACUCUACACCUAAAGGCUCCCAUCCGCCUCCGAGGUAGACUCAGGUCAUCUUAGACAACCCAGAACUCUGAGGCAGAGUUUUGAACCCCACUGCAGUAGAGCACAAACUGCUGAGAUCAAGGGCCGUGUUUUCCUCCACUUUGUACCUCUGCACUCAGCAUAGGGCUUGGCACAAAAGAGUUACAAAUAACCAUGUGUCUUUGAAGGACUCUCCAAAGUAAAUGGGGUCAGAGAGUGGCGAUGGGGGACUGAUAUAUAGCAUGUGAGGAAAGAGUAUUCAUCAGUAACUCUAAGACAGGGGAGAAAACUGUGUUACAGAAAAAACAGCAGGCGAAGAUGUGCCCACGUCUGGAAGACGUGAUGUGGGGAAAGAGGCUCUUAACACCCCCAUGGUUCCACCGCAGCCAGCUAGUGGGACUCUUCUUUAGGAUAACAAGACCAACUAUUUCUGCCAUUUGAUAAAGGAGGAAAGUAUGGGGCUGAUCCAGUGUUAAGUUGUUGCUCAAGUGGUGGUCAGGUUUUCUGACUUCCAGCAGGUGGACAAGAACCACAGAAACACAGAUGAGCAUGACACAGUCAGGGCUGGAGAAGUGGCCAGUGGCCAGGAA